Molecule: transfer RNA, 72 nt
Filed under: Nitzschia ovalis
Lineage: Eukaryota; Bacillariophyta; Bacillariophyceae; Bacillariales; Bacillariaceae
Description: tRNA-Glu
Rfam family: tRNA
About the family: Transfer RNA (tRNA) molecules are approximately 80 nucleotides in length. Their secondary structure includes four short double-helical elements and three loops (D, anti-codon, and T loops). Further hydrogen bonds mediate the characteristic L-shaped molecular structure. tRNAs have two regions of fundamental functional importance: the anti-codon, which is responsible for specific mRNA codon recognition, and the 3' end, to which the tRNAs corresponding amino acid is attached (by aminoacyl-tRNA synthetases). tRNAs cope with the degeneracy of the genetic code in two manners: having more than one tRNA (with a specific anti-codon) for a particular amino acid; and 'wobble' base-pairing, i.e. permitting non-standard base-pairing at the 3rd anti-codon position.
Source: RNAcentral
GCUCUUAUCGUCUAAUGGUUAGGACACUACUCUUUCAUAGUGGUAAUAGGGGUUCAAAUCUCGUUAAGAAUA